Mycena olivaceomarginata is the source of this 96-nucleotide non-coding RNA. Lineage: Eukaryota; Fungi; Basidiomycota; Agaricomycetes; Agaricales; Mycenaceae. The record is from the annotation of a GenBank genome assembly.
ACACCGAUGGUGAAGCGGUUAUCAUGCUUGCCUUCCAUUUACAGGGAUGUGAGUUUAUAUAAGCAAGCGGCAGGGGUUCGACUCCCCUUCGGUGUA